AGCGAACGCUGGCGGCAGGCUUAACACAUGCAAGUCGAACGGGCACUUCGGUGUCAGUGGCAGACGGGUGAGUAACACGUGGGAACGUACCUUUUGGUUCGGAACAACUGAGGGAAACUUCAGCUAAUACCGGAUAAGCCCUAACGGGGAAAGAUUUAUCGCCGAAAGAUCGGCCCGCGUCUGAUUAGCUAGUUGGUGAGGUAAUGGCUCACCAAGGCGACGAUCAGUAGCUGGUCUGAGAGGAUGAUCAGCCACAUUGGGACUGAGACACGGCCCAAACUCCUACGGGAGGCAGCAGUGGGGAAUAUUGGACAAUGGGCGCAAGCCUGAUCCAGCCAUGCCGCGUGAGUGAUGAAGGCCCUAGGGUUGUAAAGCUCUUUUGUGCGGGAAGAUAAUGACGGUACCGCAAGAAUAAGCCCCGGCUAACUUCGUGCCAGCCGCCGCCGUAA
Molecule: ribosomal RNA, 449 nt
Filed under: uncultured bacterium
Lineage: Bacteria
Description: partial 16S ribosomal RNA
Rfam family: Bacterial small subunit ribosomal RNA
Source: RNAcentral